UACAGCCAUAUCACAUUGAAACACCGGUUUCUGUAUGAUCACUGAAGUUAAGCAACAUCGAGAUUGGUCAGUAUCUGGAUGGGUCUCCAUUUGGGAAUGCUAUGUGCUAUA
This is a non-coding RNA of Acanthosepion pharaonis, 111 nucleotides long. NCBI's taxonomy places the organism in Eukaryota, Metazoa, Mollusca, Cephalopoda, Sepiida, Sepiidae. The record is from the annotation of a GenBank genome assembly.